This 254-nucleotide ribosomal RNA is filed under the name uncultured bacterium. RNAcentral's name for it is "partial 16S ribosomal RNA". It matches the Rfam family "Bacterial small subunit ribosomal RNA", at positions 524 to 776 of the family's 1533-position model. The record is from RNAcentral.
UACGGAGGGGGCAAGCGUUGUUCGGAAUUACUGGGCGUAAAGGGCGCGCAGGCGGCUGCUCAAGUCAGGCGUGAAAGGCCUGGGCUCAACCCGGGAAUUGCGCUUGAGACUGGGCUGGCUUGAAUCCGGGAGAGGGAUGCGGAAUUCCAGGUGUAGCGGUGAAAUGCGUAGAGAUGUGGAGGAAUACCGAUGGCGAAGGCAGCCCCCUGGGAUAACACUGACGCUCAUGCACGAAAGCGUGGGGAGCAAACAGG